UGACCUAACUGUUGGGUAGGGUAAAUUUACUGAUUCCCAACAACUUCUACUAAUGCUAUAACUUCUACUACUAUUACUGGGGGCUUCGUGGUGCAGUGGUUAGCAUACUCGGCUCACAACCGAGAGAGCCCGGGUUCGAUUCCCGCCGGAGUGGAAAAAUUUGGGCGUCUUUUCCGAUACCCUACGCCCCUGUCCACCCAGCAGUGAAUGGGUACCAGGUAUUAAUCGGGGGCUGUGUCCCGUCUCCUGGGAUCUGUUCCCUUCUCCUAUAAUUCCUUCCCCUCCUGUCUCUCUCCGGCAUAUGACCACAGAUGUUGCGCCGACUAAACGAAACAUUCCAGUACUACUAAUACUGCUACUACUUCAACUACUACAGCCACUCCCACAGGCACAUAGACGCUGUGGACCCGUCGGAGGGCAUGAUGAAGCUGCGAGAGACUGGCAUCUAUACCAACGACUUCCUGGAGUUUAUCGGCAGCGGACACUCCACCGUGCCCAAAGACACAUACGACCUGGUGGUCAUCUCGGGCGGUAUGGGCGAAGGUCAUAUCCCACUCAGUGGCCUCGACGACCUGGUGCGCGUCGCAAAGAACGGAGGCUUCGUGAUCAUCGUGAUGCGCCACGAGCACCUACAGACCGUGCCUUCCUACAAGGACAAGCUGGAGCCUUACAUGGACCAGCUGGAGUCGGACGGGAAGUGGAAGAAGGU
Molecule: long non-coding RNA, 709 nt
Organism: Eriocheir sinensis (Chinese mitten crab)
Lineage: Eukaryota; Metazoa; Arthropoda; Malacostraca; Decapoda; Varunidae
Exons: 3
Source: RefSeq, a predicted model, not a curated record